GCCUGCCGUUGUACAUUAUUACAAACUUUAAUAAACCGUAAUGUUCAUAACACACCAUUGUAGGAAAAGACUAUAAAAAAAUACAUGUUUUUUCAGAUCUUACAGUUGUCUGCGCCAGACCGUAGCGUGAGAGAAAAGACCGCUUCCCCUUGGUUAAAUGGUCCAACAGGAGUGUAUCCACCAGACUUUCCGGUGCAUGAAUAUCCUGUUUCAAUGUGAUGGCAUCCUGUGACAGUUUGAUCUGAGCGCAAGCGUCCAGUUGUAGAGACGACAGCAGAUCGAGCCUGUGGACGGACAGUCCAACAAGUGUGCAUCCCUCAGACCAUCCGGUAGAGGGACAUCCGGUGCCAGUGUGAUCCAGUUGUGGAGACUACAGCACAUCGAGUGUGCGGACGGACAGGGACACUUGACCUCAACCACUGCUGUGGUGCCCACAAGACCACCCGAUGAGGCACCCAGGAUCCCAG
Molecule: long non-coding RNA, 467 nt
Organism: Oncorhynchus tshawytscha (Chinook salmon)
Lineage: Eukaryota; Metazoa; Chordata; Actinopteri; Salmoniformes; Salmonidae
Source: Ensembl